UACGUAGGGGGCAAGCGUUAUCCGGAUUUACUGGGUGUAAAGGGAGCGUAGACGGCAAUGCAAGUCUGGAGUGAAAGGCGGGGGCCCAACCCCCGGACUGCUCUGGAACCUGUAUAGCUGGAGUGCAGGAGAGGUAAGUGGAAUUCCUAGUGUAGCGGUGAAAUGCGUAGAUAUUAGGAGGAACACCAGUGGCGAAGGCGGCUUACUGGACUGUAACUGACGUUGAGGCUCGAAAGCGUGGGGAGCAAACAGG
This 253-nucleotide ribosomal RNA is filed under the name uncultured bacterium. RNAcentral's name for it is "partial 16S ribosomal RNA". It matches the Rfam family "Bacterial small subunit ribosomal RNA", at positions 524 to 776 of the family's 1533-position model. The record is from RNAcentral.